GAAACAGGCUCAGAGAUUUUCCCAGGGUCGCAAAGAUGAUAAGAAAGUCAGAAACUGAAGACAGACUACUAUCUGAAUUGACUCAAAAUACAAUGUGCAUUCCAUUACACCAGAGCGAUCAAACUCAAAGCCUACUGGACAGACAGAACCAGGUGAAAGAUGUCAGGAACAAUGUGACACUGCUUCACUUUAAAGGGGAACAGCAUUCUGAAAUCCUAAUUCUUGCUGAGGAAGUUUUCUGAAGAGUCUUGCUGCUCAGCCUGGAAGAUUGGCUUGGUCACUGAUUUCUCCGAGAAGCAAGUACCAGCAACCCCUCUGGCCACCCAGGCCACUGUGUUCUAUUGAGUGGCUGAAUCAACGUGUCCACGGCCUGAGGAAGUCUCCAGUUCCCCAAGAGAAAAGGAUGUAGAGUGAGAAUAAUUCAGAUAAUACAUGAUAAGGUCAUUGUGA
This is a long non-coding RNA of Monodelphis domestica (gray short-tailed opossum), 450 nucleotides long. RefSeq lists it as uncharacterized. Lineage: Eukaryota; Metazoa; Chordata; Mammalia; Didelphimorphia; Didelphidae. The record is from RefSeq and is a predicted model, not a curated record.